RNA transcript from Musa acuminata AAA Group (dessert banana), 2768 nucleotides. RefSeq lists it as uncharacterized. Lineage: Eukaryota; Viridiplantae; Streptophyta; Magnoliopsida; Zingiberales; Musaceae. The transcript has 2 exons. The record is from RefSeq and is a predicted model, not a curated record.
ACCAAUUUAUAUAUUGCUUAUAUUUGGUUAUGUUGCCAUCACAAUGGAAGGCUCGAGGCAUGGGGCAUGUGAAUUUGGUCCAUCUCUUUGCCAAGUUGGUACAUGAUGUGUCGUCGUAGCUAAGUACUCGAAUUUGUUCUGAAACAUGUUUGAUAUCUAAUCUGUGAAAUAGCUUAUAACGUUAUCUUAUUUCUACAAAUUUUGAGCUCUAAUCUUGUUCAGAAUUUGUUCAAACUCUACUCUUGAAGGUUAUACAAAUGCAGACUGGUGAGUCGAAUAUUGAAAUCGAAUCCGACAAAACCCGAGCCCGUACCUCAGGGUCGAAUAAAGAUCUGUUAGAUUUGAAUUCCGGCCCAACGGGCGAAGAAGAUCGAGCGAACGCACCUUGGUCUCCAGAAGCCCCGUCGAAGCUGUCGCCGCCGACGAGAGGGCCGCUUUCGCAGCUCCUCCUCCUCAUCUACGUGAUCUUUUCUUCGUUGCUGCUCUCGUCUUCUUUGGAGUAUGUCGCCGGAACCGGAGGCGACGCGAGCACCAGCAGGAGCUCCGGUGCGAGAUUGGAAUGGAAAUUCCUUACCAAGAGAAAUUUCUCCUCUUAGAUCCGUCUCCAUCGCCAGAUCCUCCUCAUGGUUACCGUCCCUUGUACGCCGCUUCCCUUUCUUGAUUAUCCCUUUUCUCUUGACGCUCGCGUCUUGCUAGAUCGAUCAAGAAUAUGGAUUUUAGGUGAAUCACGAGGUCCAUACCAAUCUUGAUUACUGCUUGGAAUUCUGUUCACAUGAAUCAUUUUAUCGAAAGGGAAGCAGAGAGGGCUUUACCAAUGUGAAAUGUAAUUGGUUAGUUGGUUGUAGACAGGCAGUUAAGAUACAUCCUUGUGCUUUCUUUGGUCGGUCUCAGCAAUUCUGCUCCAACAGAGCAACGAGUUUGACUUAUGUUGGUGAGACUAAAACUUAUCUGGUAAGAAUAAUCUUAAUAGUCAUCUGCCCUUUCUUCUUUAGUAGUAGACGUUGAGAUAAACAAUUAAAAUUCAAUAGAUGAAAAUUCCUUUUAAAAUGGGAUGAAAGUUAUUUAUGUGGUUCUACCUUGAUAAGAAUAUAUGUGAGCAGAAAUGUAUGUUGUGAUUUCAUAGCAGUGAACCUUAUGAGCAAAUUUCAUUUUAUUUUCUCUUUGGCAAGGGUUUCUUUUUUUUUUUAAGAGUAAGCGACAAAGGUGGUAUUUGAGUCCAAGACCUUACGAUAAACUAUCAAUGUCUUUACCAGCUAAGCUAGUCUUUGGCUAGGUUAAUGUCGAUAAGAAGAUUAGUAUUUAUAUUCUUUGGUAUCAGAGCUUGUCUACUUUUGGCCCCUCUUAUCAAAUUUAACAUGUUGCUUUUUGCCUAAACUGAGACUUCAUAGGAUCUCUGGCUCUUGAUGUCCUAAUACCUUCUUCUUUAAGCCUUUCCUCUUGAACAGUGUGUGUGAAUGUGCAUGCCUCGUGUGACCAUGUGUAUGUAUGUGUAUGUGUCUAUGAAUGUAUGAUGUGCACUUGAUACCAUUCAUUUCCUAUUUUGCAAAUUGUUUCAAUAUGACAUGCGGUGAUUAAUGGUUGGUAAAUUUAUUAAGUGUGCUUCAUGUUAACAUUGCUUAAAUUAAUGAUAAUUUUAUCUCCAUGAAAUUACUGAUUCUCAUUGUUGCAACUGUGUGACUUCCUGUUCAUCAUUGUUUUCAAAUCGCUUAAACAUUACUUAAACAUUGAGGAAAUCUUCAAUUUUUGUCUUGUGGUUGAUCUUUUGGUUUCUAAUCGCGUGAAUGUUGUUUUGUUUGAGCGGCUCUUCCACGGUUCCCUAGUUGAACGAAUAUUUAGAAUACAUAUUCUUAGAGCUCUUGAUGAGGACACUUGGAUAUGACAAUCCAAUCCCCUAGGCUUGUUGUCUACUAUUGAUUUCUAUCGGUAUAUCAAAUCAGAUUCUAAGGAGGAGGUUUGGCAGGGCUAGAAGGCGAUAUGGCUCCUUCCUAUCUCCCGUAAAGGUAAAACUCUUUCUAUGGAAACUCUCCUGGAACCGAUUACCCAUCUCUGACCUCUUUGCACAUAUUCUACGCCACCAGCAAGAUAAUUGCUUUGUAUGUCACCUUUCGGUAGAUACCUCCCCACAUAUUCUCCUACAAUGUUCUUCAGCCCUCUCUUUUUGGAAUCUGCUCCAGGCCAAAGUGAAAUUUGUUUCAAGUUCUUUGACACAUGGGCUUAUCUUGGCUUCACGAGGGAGAUGGUCCUGACAAAUAAAUCUCUAGAACGAUCUUAAGUCUCAUUUCCUAUUCUUUUUGUUGUCUUUGGCUCAAUAGAAAUGAGGUCAGAUUCCAUAACUGUCAUGCCAAACCUCCUACCAUAGUCUCCAGGGUGAUUGCCCUCACCAAUGAAAUCGCUGAAUCAUGUCCUUCGCCUGAGAAAACUAGGAAUAUAUGCACUAUGUACCCUCAACCAGGUAAUGGGAUCUACGGCUACAUAUUACAAUGUGAUAAAUCUUUUACUUCACUUCGAAUUUUCUGCAGGAACCAGAUUUAUCUUCCUCUUUGCUGCAAACUCAUCGCUAGCUGUGGGCUGAUCGAAUCCCCUAAUGGCAGAGGCUCUCGUUGUCCUGGAGGCGCUGAAACACACAGAGGCACUGCAGUGGCACCACCCCUGGAUCCAAACUGACUCCCAAUCACUAAUAUCUAUUGUUAACAGUGCCAAGGAAAUCCCUUGGUUCCUUUCUGUCAUUAUUUCUGAUGUAACGUUAUUUAUGGCCAAACUUCACAUCA